RNAcentral lists this ribosomal RNA (492 nucleotides) under uncultured bacterium. Its description in RNAcentral is "partial 16S ribosomal RNA". It matches the Rfam family "Bacterial small subunit ribosomal RNA", at positions 29 to 507 of the family's 1533-position model. The record is from RNAcentral.
AGUGAACGCUGGCGGUAGGCCUAACACAUGCAAGUCGAACGGCAGCACAGUAAGAGCUUGCUCUUACGGGUGGCGAGUGGCGGACGGGUGAGGAAUACAUCGGAAUCUACUUUUUCGUGGGGGAUAACGUAGGGAAACUUACGCUAAUACCGCAUACGACCUACGGGUGAAAGCAGGGGAUCUUCGGACCUUGCGCGAUUGAAUGAGCCGAUGUCGGAUUAGCUAGUUGGCGGGGUAAAGGCCCACCAAGGCGACGAUCCGUAGCUGGUCUGAGAGGAUGGUCAGCCACACUGGAACUGAGACGCGGUCCAGACUCCUACGGGAGACAGCAGUGGGGAAUAUUGGACAAUGGGCGCAAGCCUGAUACAGCCAUACCGCGUGGGUGAAGAAGGCCUUCGGGUUGUAAAGCCCUUUUGUUGGGAAAGAAAAGCAGCAGGUUAAUACCCCGCUGUUCUGACGGUACCCGAAGAAUAAGCACCGGCUAACUUCGUG